Molecule: non-coding RNA, 73 nt
Organism: Podarcis lilfordi (Lilford's wall lizard)
Lineage: Eukaryota; Metazoa; Chordata; Lepidosauria; Squamata; Lacertidae
Source: the annotation of a GenBank genome assembly
CCCUGGAUAGCUCAGCUGGUAGAAAACGAGACUCUUAAUCUCAGGGUUGUGGGUUUGAGCCCCAUGUUGGGCA